Molecule: ribosomal RNA, 1155 nt
Filed under: Salmonella enterica subsp. enterica serovar Indiana
Lineage: Bacteria; Pseudomonadati; Pseudomonadota; Gammaproteobacteria; Enterobacterales; Enterobacteriaceae
Description: partial 23S ribosomal RNA
Rfam family: Bacterial large subunit ribosomal RNA
Source: RNAcentral
GCCGGAGGGAAACCGAGUCUUAAUUGGGCGUUAAGUUGCAGGGUAUAGACCCGAAACCCGGUGAUCUAGCCAUGGGCAGGUUGAAGGUUGGGUAACACUAACUGGAGGACCGAACCGACUAAUGUUGAAAAAUUAGCGGAUGACCUGUGGCUGGGGGUGAAAGGCCAAUCAAACCGGGAGAUAGCUGGUUCUCCCCGAAAGCUAUUUAGGUAGCGCCUCGUGAAUUCAUCUCCGGGGGUAGAGCACUGUUUCGGCUAGGGGGCCAUCCCGGCUUACCAACCCGAUGCAAACUGCGAAUACCGGAGAAUGUUAUCACGGGAGACACACGGCGGGUGCUAACGUCCGUCGUGAAGAGGGAAACAACCCAGACCGCCAGCUAAGGUCCCAAAGUCAUGGUUAAGUGGGAAACGAUGUGGGAAGGCCCAGACAGCCAGGAUGUUGGCUUAGAAGCAGCCAUCAUUUAAAGAAAGCGUAAUAGCUCACUGGUCGAGUCGGCCUGCGCGGAAGAUGUAACGGGGCUAAACCAUGCACCGAAGCUGCGGCAGCGAACGUAUCACCCAAGACAACUUUGCGGAGUUGACGAUUGACGGAGCGAAGCGACGUCAAAGCGUUCAUUAAAGUCGAGUUGGCUUAGGGAUACGUUCGUUGGGUAGGGGAGCGUUCUGUAAGCCUGUGAAGGUAUGCUGUGAGGCAUGCUGGAGGUAUCAGAAGUGCGAAUGCUGACAUAAGUAACGAUAAAGCGGGUGAAAAGCCCGCUCGCCGGAAGACCAAGGGUUCCUGUCCAACGUUAAUCGGGGCAGGGUGAGUCGACCCCUAAGGCGAGGCCGAAAGGCGUAGUCGAUGGGAAACGGGUUAAUAUUCCCGUACUUGGUGUUACUGCGAAGGGGGGACGGAGAAGGCUAUGUUGGCCGGGCGACGGUUGUCCCGGUUUAAGCGUGUAGGUGUGUGUUCCAGGUAAAUCCGGUUCACUUUAACACUGAGGCGUGACGACGAGGCACUACGGUGCUGAAGCAACAAAUGCCCUGCUUCCAGGAAAAGCCUCUAAGCAUCAGGUAACAUCAAAUCGUACCCCAAACCGACACAGGUGGUCAGGUAGAGAAUACCAAGGCGCUUGAGAGAACUCGGGUGAAGGAACUAGGCAAAAUGGUGCCGUAA